This 253-nucleotide ribosomal RNA is filed under the name uncultured bacterium. Its description in RNAcentral is "partial 16S ribosomal RNA". It matches the Rfam family "Bacterial small subunit ribosomal RNA", at positions 524 to 776 of the family's 1533-position model. The record is from RNAcentral.
GACGUAGGGUGCAAGCGUUGUCCGGAUUUAUUGGGCGUAAAGAGCUCGUAGGCGGCUCGUCGCGUCGACUGUGAAAACUCGGGGCUUAACCCCGGGCUUGCAGUCGAUACGGGCGGGCUGGAGUUCGGUAGGGGAGACUGGAAUUCCUGGUGUGGCGGUGAAAUGCGCAGAUAUCAGGAGGAACACCGGUGGCGAAGGCGGGUCUCUGGGCCGAUACUGACGCUGAGGAGCGAAAGCGUGGGGAGCAAACAGG